Molecule: long non-coding RNA, 277 nt
Organism: Xenia sp. Carnegie-2017
Lineage: Eukaryota; Metazoa; Cnidaria; Anthozoa; Malacalcyonacea; Xeniidae
Exons: 2
Source: RefSeq, a predicted model, not a curated record
ACUAUUUAGGUCUCAUAUUGUUGAUCUUGAUUAUCUUACAUCAUUCGGACAUCUCAUGCAAGUUAUCUCGUAUUGAUAUUAUACAAAGUUUCCCUUGCUUUUGGCACGAACAUUAUCCACAAAGGAAUCAAAUUAUAAAUAACAUAAUUCAAUUUCUAUUGGAUCUAUUUUUUUGUAAAUAGUGCUGUAUUCUAUGCAUUAACAAAAUUUAUUGUUUUUAAUAUGUGCAAAAUUUUUAAUCAUAAAAAUAAAUCGCGAUAAAUUCCACGAUGUAAAA